GUCCUGGGCCACUACCUCCUGCUCCUCUUUCUCCUGGCCCUGCAAGCCCAGAAUGCCCAGAGUGCUCCAACACCUGGGCAGGGAGCAGUUGUGGACACAGAGAGAACUCUUUCAGCCCCUGAGCUGGAGCCAAAUACCAUGCUGAUUCCGAGCUGGUACCUCAAGCGUGAGUCAUCAGUCUCUACCGCCUUCACGAGAAUGAGCACUCCUUUCUCCUUUUCCCUGUGUUAUUCAUGAGAAAUACACCUUCAUAGGUAUGUCAUCCUUUCAUAAAUCUAACAAUAGGGAAUAAUUAUGACAAGGUUCCUGAAGAAUUCCCUGAAGGAUUCCCAGAUGUUUCAGAGGAGCUCCUGAACACCUUGCAUGAAGCCCCAUCUGGUUAGUAUAUCCCACUCUGUUAACCCUGGGACCUGGGAAGCUGAGCUUUUGGUUCCUGGAGGGAUGUGCUGUAUCCUGGACAGCCAGAAGUGCUGCAGGGAUUUCACACCAUUUCACACCUCCUGGAGUGAGCCAUAGAGAUGGUCCAGCACAGCGUCUGCUCACAGCUCUGCUUCCAGACGAUUGCCAGGGGCAUCUCCAGAUGCUGCUGCAAUUGUACCAUUACUGGCCAGAGCUGCUGUGUGCAGACACUGGCAUCCAGAUGUGGGGAAAAGGCCUGUGCUGAAUUUGUGUUCGCCUCACACUCAGCACAGCAUGGAGGCAGAAAUGCUAUCCCACAAAAUCUUGGCUGCCCCUGCCAAACCUCAGGCUCAGGGAUGGGCUGAAGCUGGACCCCAAGUGUGAGGGUGAACCUGGAGGUAUUCCUUCUGUGGGUCAUUUGGUUGAUUAAGUCUUGGCUGGUUUGGGUCUGCAUUUCUUGUUGCACUGCAGAAAAUCUGGCUAUGGAUUCCUCUUGUCUUGGGGGACAGCAGGCUCCUCACUGCCACUUGCCAGAAUGCCCGGCCACGGUACUGUGCUCUUGGAAAGGGACAGUGGCUUCUGGUUACAGUGUCCAGUGUUUUUUUCUGAAGAGACGGAUUCUGAGACUGUGCUGGAGACCUUCCCUAUGGAAGAAAAUGGCAGCCUGCCAGGCUCAGAUGAAGAAAGAGAACCAACAGAGGACACCAGCACACUUGCUGAGCCUGGGGAAUAUUCAUGGUCAGCUGCUGGGCAAAAAGCCAAGACUGCUGGACAGUGGGAAUUUAGCAAGAACUACAUUCUAGCAUCUGUAGCAGUCUCGGCUCUGCUGCUGCUUGCAGCAGUGGUUGGGUACAUAAUCAUGUACCAGGCUGCUGAAGCGAGACAUGUGAGUUAUUCAUUGCUGCCAUUGGCAAUGAAGGGUUUGCACCAGGCUGGAGUGCCCAGGCAGCUCCUAGCAAGGCUCUGUGGAAACCGCUGCAGUGCAAUGCUUUAACUGUGCUCCAAAUUCAUAUCUAUGAGGAGUCUUGGAAAUCUGUUUCUACAGCAGGACUCAGGAAGACAAGGAGGCAACAAGACAGGACUGGGACUCUUCCAGGGAAAGCUGUGGUCUGCCUAGACGUGAAGCAGAAUCAAGCUGCCGCCUGUUUCCUGAGGUCUUUGCAGCAGAGCUUGCCCAGGUGUACAAGAACAUGGGCACAGACCGCUCACCUCUGCCCAUGUGUUCCUUCUGUGCUCUGGCUGACGGUGCUUCUUCACGGGACCACUGGAUUUCCCUGGACUCACCUCAGCCCACACCAUUCUGGUGCCCCUGCUACCAGUACCAGCAGGAACACUUUAUAUUAGGGGACCAUGAUUAGUGAUAGUGAGAGUUAUAAAUAGUGAUAGGGAUGGUGACACCUGCAGUGAUACUUUUAGUGGUAGUGACACUUUUAGUGAUAGUGAUACUUUAUAUUAGAGGAUAACGAUUAUUUUACUGAUAGUGGUAGCAUAUAAAUAAAUGUAUUUCCAAAAGCAGUAAGUCCUUGGCUGUUGCGGAUGUUUCUGUUGGGGUAGAAUGCACAGAGCUGGGAGCAGGUCUGGGGCUGGUAGAGGAGCUCUGAGCAACUUGCACUGCAGUGCAGGAGCUGUUUGUGCCAGCCUCAGCCUGCUUUCCCAGCAGUGGCCAGUAACAAGGCUUUCCUUCACCAGAAUAAGGACACGCUAGUGAGGAGUGACAUGCAGAAACUCCUCUACGAGCUCAUUUGGGAUGCUGCCCAGAAUCAGGAAGGUCUGGACAGAGAGGAUAGGAUGUUGUGGGAAGGAUGGCUGUCCAGUGCUAAUCACAUCAAGGAGACCUGAGAUCGUGACUUAGAUCAUGGGGGAUGUGGCAGUUCCCUCCCCAAAGAACUCAAAGAGGAUCAAGGAGCAGAAAGCUGGAGCUGGGCUGUGUGAGAUGCAGAGGGGAAGGAAUGCGAUACUAGUCACAGGAGCAUUACUAAAAAUUAUAUUGAUAACAGAGAGAGCAGUUAUAAUAAAAAACACAGUAUUUUCCCACUCACUAUGGGAAAAAAGCCGAAGGUGGAGCAAAGCUUGGGAAGUUUGCUCUGGGCUUUUGCUUGAGCAAGUGCGGCAGUUGCAGGCUGUGUGUGGCUCCUUAGUUGCUGUUUUGGGACUUGGCUUUUGUUUCAGGGAGAUUAAGACCAAAGCAAUACAGACCUGGGCAUUUCCUGCUCAAUUUCUAAAGUAACGGAAUGUAGGACUGUGAAGAAGGCCGUUGAGGUAGAAAGAAGUGACAGAGUGCCCGCCUCAGAUGAAGAAAGUGAGGCAGUGCAAGAAACCAGCAUGAUGGAAUAGCUGCCCUGGGAUGAUGAGUCAGAUUCACUGUGGUCCCGCAGGCCUUUCCUCAUGCCUGCUCCAGCUUGGCCACCUACAGCCAAAGCUGGAGGUGUGAGUGCAGCAAAGCUGUUGUCCAGAAUCACGGCACAGGCUCUGAGGCUGAUUGUUGCCUGCAGUGUGUGGGGAGGAUAUUGCCAGCAGCAAUUGCCAGAGAGAUGCUUGACGGCAUCUCUGGACACUGUGGGGUUUUGGAGGGGUUCUUACACUUUUAGCUCAGGCAGUAAAGACUGUCCCAAGACAAUGCUAUUCCCUUUGAAGUGCUGAAGAGGAACCACUGAGCUCCUCACCCUUGUCCCUCUCCUCUCCACAGCAGCUCCAGCUCCACCUCUGGGCUGUCUCUCAUGGGGCUCUUAGCAGCCUCUGAGAUACCCCACCUCCUGAGAGGGCAGCCCAAGCUCUUUUCAGAAGAGAGCUGUGCCUCAACACUUGAACCAAGCCUUGCAAACUCUUGUGAUAUAGACAUCCACACUUGCAGCCCUGCAGAUGCACAUGUGAACUGAGAUGCACAUGUGGGACACAUGCAUGCCCAUGCCCUGCAGUGCUAUUUCUGAAAUGCCCGGGCUGCUUCUGAGGGAGCUGACGUGCCACUGCAGCAGGAAAACACCUCUGCAUACAAGGGGCUGCAGCAACAACCACCCCUGGGUUUCUCCUUGUGUGUUGUUCUGUUCAGUCGCCAGUCCCUUGGUUUCUCGCUAUAUUCCUGUUCUCUCCCACUCCCUCUCUGUCUUGCUGUCUAUCCAAAGCUUCUUCAACAAUCUCCAUCCCGCCCCAACCCAGACUUCGUUCUCUCCUACUCAUUCUGCUCCUUUCUGCUCAUUCUGCGUCUCUUCCUCUUUCCCUGCUGCGUCUUCCUGCAGCUCUGCUCCCAUUCCCUGCCCCUCUUUUGCUCUCGUUGCCUCUCCGUUCUGCUUCCUGUCCCUGUCUCUUCUGUCUUUAUUUCUCGGCUCUGCUCCCUGUGCCACGCUCAGCUCAGACUCCCAGGCGAGCUGCCCCGGCAGCCGGGACACGGCGGAGAGCUCUCCUGCAGCAGCGGCGAAUCGGGCCCGGGAGAGGCGCCUCGGCCCUCGGGCCGGAGCGGGGGCGCUCCGCGCCAGCGGGAGCAGCUGGAGCUGCGGCCCGGGAGGCGGGGCGGGCACAGCCCCACAGCCCCGUUCCCGCCCCUCAUGGCCACAAUGGGAAAGAACAGGGGUUCUCUUGGGAAACCAAGAGACUGGCAACUGGACAGAGCAACACACAAGGGGAAACCCAGGGGCGGUUUUUGCUGCAGCCCAAUAAAUCCAGAGGUGUUUUCCUGCUGCAGUGGUUGCUCCGAGCCAGCGGGAGCAGCUGGAGCUGCGGGGCGGGCACAGCCCCACAACCGCGUGCCCGCCCCUCACGGCCCCGUGCGAAAUGGCGGCAGCAGGGGGCAAGGAGGCCGCGGGCCCCGGGCAGCGCUGCCUCCGUGCCGUGCCACACACGCGGCAGGCGGCUUCAGCAGCAGCACAGGUCUCGGGGCACUGGUCCCACAGCUGGUGACGAGCCGCCGAGCAGCGCAAUGCCUCGAGUGCGUUAAAGGAGAGACUGGGUGUAUAACCCGUUAAAGGAACAAAGAAGGGCAGUGUUCAUCGGUGCCACCCCUCGGGCAGGAAUAGAGGGCCCGAGAUAGCACUCAGACUCAAUGCCGAGGCAGCUGGGCAGCCUGCCUGGCUUCUGGGCAGGAGAUGUCACCAAGACAUCCUCCAGCCUGGUACGGCCCUCUGCUUAUCAUUAUGUGCCACAGCCUUCAAGGUGGGCUGUGAUCUGUGCUCAAUUCCAGAGGAUGGCAUUGGCCAAGCUGAUGCGGCUUGUCGGUUGGAGUCUGCUUAUGAGCCUUGGAGAGACACCCUAAAGGGGGAAAUCUGUCCGUGCCUCUGUGCUUGCAGCUCUAAACACCUGGGGGUUAACUGGUGCUUCAGGGGCAAUUAUACCAAAGGUGCUCUAGAAGGCUUUCCAAGAGAUUCUAGCGUAGCGUGCCUGGCGCACGUAAAUCCUGAAUAUUUCCUUCCCAGAAGAGCUGCUAAGCUAAAAGGCUACCCGUGUUAACUGUUACCUGCAGGAACUGACACAUUUGUGUGUCUCCCAUGGCAUUACCACCUGGGGUCUGAGGACAAGCAAGAGGGAGCUCAGGGCCUCUGGAUGACUGCUUGAGGGAUCUGGGCCGCAUGUGGUAUUUACUUCUGCCACUUGCAGUGACCCAGACACAGAAAGGUUCUAGAGGUGAAUACCUGGCACCCUGGUGUGCCCAACAGAAGUGUAGGGCUUUGACUGUGGGUUACUCCACAGGACACCAGGCCUGAUGGUGGCACAUGGGCUACACCUGCCUCCAAGGGAAAAAGGAUCUUGGCUCAGGAGUUAGUGGGGCUCCUUAAGAGGGCUUUACGUAGGUUUGGAAGUGGAAAGGGAAUAUACUAGGCUCACCUGGGAGAAGCAUGAGCACUGCAAACACAUGUUUGCAUGACAGUGGAGGAUGGAAGCAGUGCUGCCAUCAAAGAUCAUGAAACUGUAGCACAAGUAAUGGGGAAAACAGGUUUCUUGCCAGAAUGCUGUCAGACAAAAAUACUACCAAAGAAAGACACAAUUGAGUUUUUUACAGCAGCCUUCAUACAGGGCUGCUGAUGGGGAUUUAUGAAGAAUAAAUCAUGAGUGCCUCUGCAUUCCCAUGCACAGUGCUGCCUCCCAGAAUACAUCAACCCUUCUCCAUUUUGCUCCUUCCAUUCCUAUGCAGAAUAAGGAAAUCAAUAGAGGGCGGGUCCAGGAAUUCACAUGCAAUGUGGGUGUACAUUGGGGAGUUCACAGACACCACUAUGUUAUGAGGUCACAGAGCCCUGUUUGAUGUGAGGUUCCAGAGCCCCACUGCUGCUCUUCAGUGCUCGCUCUGGGCAACACUGCAGCAGCAGCAGCAGCAGUGGCAGGAGCAGCAGAAUCAUGGUCCUGGGCCACUACCUCCUGCUCCUCUUUCUCCUGGCCCUGCAAGCCCAGAAUGCCCAGAGUGCUCCAACACCUGGGCAGGGAGCAGUUGUGGACACAGAGAGAACUCUUUCAGCCCCUGAGCUGGAGCCAAAUACCAUGCUGAUUCCGAGCUGGUACCUCAAGCGGAAUAAUUAUGACAAGGUUCCUGAAGAAUUCCCUGAAGGAUUCCCAGAUGUUUCAGAGGAGCUCCUGAACACCUUGCAUGAAGCCCCAUCUGGUUAGUAUAUCCCACUCUGUUAACCCUGGGACCUGGGAAGCUGAGCUUUUGGUUCCUGGAGGGAUGUGCUGUAUCCUGGACAGCCAGAAGUGCUGCAGGGAUUUCACACCAUUUCACACCUCCUGGAGUGAGCCAUAGAGAUGGUCCAGCACAGCGUCUGCUCACAGCUCUGCUUCCAGACGAUUGCCAGGGGCAUCUCCAGAUGCUGCUGCAAUUGUACCAUUACUGGCCAGAGCUGCUGUGUGCAGACACUGGCAUCCAGAUGUGGGGAAAAGGCCUGUGCUGAAUUUGUGUUCGCCUCACACUCAGCACAGCAUGGAGGCAGAAAUGCUAUCCCACAAAAUCUUGGCUGCCCCUGCCAAACCUCAGGCUCAGGGAUGGGCUGAAGCUGGACCCCAAGUGUGAGGGUGAACCUGGAGGUAUUCCUUCUGUGGGUCAUUUGGUUGAUUAAGUCUUGGCUGGUUUGGGUCUGCAUUUCUUGUUGCACUGCAGAAAAUCUGGCUAUGGAUUCCUCUUGUCUUGGGGGACAGCAGGCUCCUCACUGCCACUUGCCAGAAUGCCCGGCCACGGUACUGUGCUCUUGGAAAGGGACAGUGGCUUCUGGUUACAGUGUCCAGUGUUUUUUUCUGAAGAGACGGAUUCUGAGACUGUGCUGGAGACCUUCCCUAUGGAAGAAAAUGGCAGCCUGCCAGGCUCAGAUGAAGAAAGAGAACCAACAGAGGACACCAGCACACUUGCUGAGCCUGGGGAAUAUUCAUGGUCAGCUGCUGGGCAAAAAGCCAAGACUGCUGGACAGUGGGAAUUUAGCAAGAACUACAUUCUAGCAUCUGUAGCAGUCUCGGCUCUGCUGCUGCUUGCAGCAGUGGUUGGGUACAUAAUCAUGUACCAGGCUGCUGAAGCGAGACAUGUGAGUUAUUCAUUGCUGCCAUUGGCAAUGAAGGGUUUGCACCAGGCUGGAGUGCCCAGGCAGCUCCUAGCAAGGCUCUGUGGAAACCGCUGCAGUGCAAUGCUUUAACUGUGCUCCAAAUUCAUAUCUAUGAGGAGUCUUGGAAAUCUGUUUCUACAGCAGGACUCAGGAAGACAAGGAGGCAACAAGACAGGACUGGGACUCUUCCAGGGAAAGCUGUGGUCUGCCUAGACGUGAAGCAGAAUCAAGCUGCCGCCUGUUUCCUGAGGUCUUUGCAGCAGAGCUUGCCCAGGUGUACAAGAACAUGGGCACAGACCGCUCACCUCUGCCCAUGUGUUCCUUCUGUGCUCUGGCUGACGGUGCUUCUUCACGGGACCACUGGAUUUCCCUGGACUCACCUCAGCCCACACCAUUCUGGUGCCCCUGCUACCAGUACCAGCAGGAACACUUUAUAUUAGGGGACCAUGAUUAGUGAUAGUGAGAGUUAUAAAUAGUGAUAGGGAUGGUGACACCUGCAGUGAUACUUUUAGUGGUAGUGACACUUUUAGUGAUAGUGAUACUUUAUAUUAGAGGAUAACGAUUAUUUUACUGAUAGUGGUAGCAUAUAAAUAAAUGUAUUUCCAAAAGCAGUAAGUCCUUGGCUGUUGCGGAUGUUUCUGUUGGGGUAGAAUGCACAGAGCUGGGAGCAGGUCUGGGGCUGGUAGAGGAGCUCUGAGCAACUUGCACUGCAGUGCAGGAGCUGUUUGUGCCAGCCUCAGCCUGCUUUCCCAGCAGUGGCCAGUAACAAGGCUUUCCUUCACCAGAAUAAGGACACGCUAGUGAGGAGUGACAUGCAGAAACUCCUCUACGAGCUCAUUUGGGAUGCUGCCCAGAAUCAGGAAGGUCUGGACAGAGAGGAUAGGAUGUUGUGGGAAGGAUGGCUGUCCAGUGCUAAUCACAUCAAGGAGACCUGAGAUCGUGACUUAGAUCAUGGGGGAUGUGGCAGUUCCCUCCCCAAAGAACUCAAAGAGGAUCAAGGAGCAGAAAGCUGGAGCUGGGCUGUGUGAGAUGCAGAGGGGAAGGAAUGCGAUACUAGUCACAGGAGCAUUACUAAAAAUUAUAUUGAUAACAGAGAGAGCAGUUAUAAUAAAAAACACAGUAUUUUCCCACUCACUAUGGGAAAAAAGCCGAAGGUGGAGCAAAGCUUGGGAAGUUUGCUCUGGGCUUUUGCUUGAGCAAGUGCGGCAGUUGCAGGCUGUGUGUGGCUCCUUAGUUGCUGUUUUGGGACUUGGCUUUUGUUUCAGGGAGAUUAAGACCAAAGCAAUACAGACCUGGGCAUUUCCUGCUCAAUUUCUAAAGUAACGGAAUGUAGGACUGUGAAGAAGGCCGUUGAGGUAGAAAGAAGUGACAGAGUGCCCGCCUCAGAUGAAGAAAGUGAGGCAGUGCAAGAAACCAGCAUGAUGGAAUAGCUGCCCUGGGAUGAUGAGUCAGAUUCACUGUGGUCCCGCAGGCCUUUCCUCAUGCCUGCUCCAGCUUGGCCACCUACAGCCAAAGCUGGAGGUGUGAGUGCAGCAAAGCUGUUGUCCAGAAUCACGGCACAGGCUCUGAGGCUGAUUGUUGCCUGCAGUGUGUGGGGAGGAUAUUGCCAGCAGCAAUUGCCAGAGAGAUGCUUGACGGCAUCUCUGGACACUGUGGGGUUUUGGAGGGGUUCUUACACUUUUAGCUCAGGCAGUAAAGACUGUCCCAAGACAAUGCUAUUCCCUUUGAAGUGCUGAAGAGGAACCACUGAGCUCCUCACCCUUGUCCCUCUCCUCUCCACAGCAGCUCCAGCUCCACCUCUGGGCUGUCUCUCAUGGGGCUCUUAGCAGCCUCUGAGAUACCCCACCUCCUGAGAGGGCAGCCCAAGCUCUUUUCAGAAGAGAGCUGUGCCUCAACACUUGAACCAAGCCUUGCAAACUCUUGUGAUAUAGACAUCCACACUUGCAGCCCUGCAGAUGCACAUGUGAACUGAGAUGCACAUGUGGGACACAUGCAUGCCCAUGCCCUGCAGUGCUAUUUCUGAAAUGCCCGGGCUGCUUCUGAGGGAGCUGACGUGCCACUGCAGCAGGAAAACACCUCUGCAUACAAGGGGCUGCAGCAACAACCACCCCUGGGUUUCUCCUUGUGUGUUGUUCUGUUCAGUCGCCAGUCCCUUGGUUUCUCGCUAUAUUCCUGUUCUCUCCCACUCCCUCUCUGUCUUGCUGUCUAUCCAAAGCUUCUUCAACAAUCUCCAUCCCGCCCCAACCCAGACUUCGUUCUCUCCUACUCAUUCUGCUCCUUUCUGCUCAUUCUGCGUCUCUUCCUCUUUCCCUGCUGCGUCUUCCUGCAGCUCUGCUCCCAUUCCCUGCCCCUCUUUUGCUCUCGUUGCCUCUCCGUUCUGCUUCCUGUCCCUGUCUCUUCUGUCUUUAUUUCUCGGCUCUGCUCCCUGUGCCACGCUCAGCUCAGACUCCCAGGCGAGCUGCCCCGGCAGCCGGGACACGGCGGAGAGCUCUCCUGCAGCAGCGGCGAAUCGGGCCCGGGAGAGGCGCCUCGGCCCUCGGGCCGGAGCGGGGGCGCUCCGCGCCAGCGGGAGCAGCUGGAGCUGCGGCCCGGGAGGCGGGGCGGGCACAGCCCCACAGCCCCGUUCCCGCCCCUCAUGGCCACAAUGGGAAAGAACAGGGGUUCUCUUGGGAAACCAAGAGACUGGCAACUGGACAGAGCAACACACAAGGGGAAACCCAGGGGCGGUUUUUGCUGCAGCCCAAUAAAUCCAGAGGUGUUUUCCUGCUGCAGUGGUUGCUCCGAGCCAGCGGGAGCAGCUGGAGCUGCGGGGCGGGCACAGCCCCACAACCGCGUGCCCGCCCCUCACGGCCCCGUGCGAAAUGGCGGCAGCAGGGGGCAAGGAGGCCGCGGGCCCCGGGCAGCGCUGCCUCCGUGCCGUGCCACACACGCGGCAGGCGGCUUCAGCAGCAGCACAGGUCUCGGGGCACUGGUCCCACAGCUGGUGACGAGCCGCCGAGCAGCGCAAUGCCUCGAGUGCGUUAAAGGAGAGACUGGGUGUAUAACCCGUUAAAGGAACAAAGAAGGGCAGUGUUCAUCGGUGCCACCCCUCGGGCAGGAAUAGAGGGCCCGAGAUAGCACUCAGACUCAAUGCCGAGGCAGCUGGGCAGCCUGCCUGGCUUCUGGGCAGGAGAUGUCACCAAGACAUCCUCCAGCCUGGUACGGCCCUCUGCUUAUCAUUAUGUGCCACAGCCUUCAAGGUGGGCUGUGAUCUGUGCUCAAUUCCAGAGGAUGGCAUUGGCCAAGCUGAUGCGGCUUGUCGGUUGGAGUCUGCUUAUGAGCCUUGGAGAGACACCCUAAAGGGGGAAAUCUGUCCGUGCCUCUGUGCUUGCAGCUCUAAACACCUGGGGGUUAACUGGUGCUUCAGGGGCAAUUAUACCAAAGGUGCUCUAGAAGGCUUUCCAAGAGAUUCUAGCGUAGCGUGCCUGGCGCACGUAAAUCCUGAAUAUUUCCUUCCCAGAAGAGCUGCUAAGCUAAAAGGCUACCCGUGUUAACUGUUACCUGCAGGAACUGACACAUUUGUGUGUCUCCCAUGGCAUUACCACCUGGGGUCUGAGGACAAGCAAGAGGGAGCUCAGGGCCUCUGGAUGACUGCUUGAGGGAUCUGGGCCGCAUGUGGUAUUUACUUCUGCCACUUGCAGUGACCCAGACACAGAAAGGUUCUAGAGGUGAAUACCUGGCACCCUGGUGUGCCCAACAGAAGUGUAGGGCUUUGACUGUGGGUUACUCCACAGGACACCAGGCCUGAUGGUGGCACAUGGGCUACACCUGCCUCCAAGGGAAAAAGGAUCUUGGCUCAGGAGUUAGUGGGGCUCCUUAAGAGGGCUUUACGUAGGUUUGGAAGUGGAAAGGGAAUAUACUAGGCUCACCUGGGAGAAGCAUGAGCACUGCAAACACAUGUUUGCAUGACAGUGGAGGAUGGAAGCAGUGCUGCCAUCAAAGAUCAUGAAACUGUAGCACAAGUAAUGGGGAAAACAGGUUUCUUGCCAGAAUGCUGUCAGACAAAAAUACUACCAAAGAAAGACACAAUUGAGUUUUUUACAGCAGCCUUCAUACAGGGCUGCUGAUGGGGAUUUAUGAAGAAUAAAUCAUGAGUGCCUCUGCAUUCCCAUGCACAGUGCUGCCUCCCAGAAUACAUCAACCCUUCUCCAUUUUGCUCCUUCCAUUCCUAUGCAGAAUAAGGAAAUCAAUAGAGGGCGGGUCCAGGAAUUCACAUGCAAUGUGGGUGUACAUUGGGGAGUUCACAGACACCACUAUGUUAUGAGGUCACAGAGCCCUGUUUGAUGUGAGGUUCCAGAGCCCCACUGCUGCUCUUCAGUGCUCGCUCUGGGCAACACUGCAGCAGCAGCAGCAGCAGUGGCAGGAGCAGCAGAAUCAUGGUCCUGGGCCACUACCUCCUGCUCCUCUUUCUCCUGGCCCUGCAAGCCCAGAAUGCCCAGAGUGCUCCAACACCUGGGCAGGGAGCAGUUGUGGACACAGAGAGAACUCUUUCAGCCCCUGAGCUGGAGCCAAAUACCAUGCUGAUUCCGAGCUGGUACCUCAAGCGGAAUAAUUAUGACAAGGUUCCUGAAGAAUUCCCUGAAGGAUUCCCAGAUGUUUCAGAGGAGCUCCUGAACACCUUGCAUGAAGCCCCAUCUGGUUAGUAUAUCCCACUCUGUUAACCCUGGGACCUGGGAAGCUGAGCUUUUGGUUCCUGGAGGGAUGUGCUGUAUCCUGGACAGCCAGAAGUGCUGCAGGGAUUUCACACCAUUUCACACCUCCUGGAGUGAGCCAUAGAGAUGGUCCAGCACAGCGUCUGCUCACAGCUCUGCUUCCAGACGAUUGCCAGGGGCAUCUCCAGAUGCUGCUGCAAUUGUACCAUUACUGGCCAGAGCUGCUGUGUGCAGACACUGGCAUCCAGAUGUGGGGAAAAGGCCUGUGCUGAAUUUGUGUUCGCCUCACACUCAGCACAGCAUGGAGGCAGAAAUGCUAUCCCACAAAAUCUUGGCUGCCCCUGCCAAACCUCAGGCUCAGGGAUGGGCUGAAGCUGGACCCCAAGUGUGAGGGUGAACCUGGAGGUAUUCCUUCUGUGGGUCAUUUGGUUGAUUAAGUCUUGGCUGGUUUGGGUCUGCAUUUCUUGUUGCACUGCAGAAAAUCUGGCUAUGGAUUCCUCUUGUCUUGGGGGACAGCAGGCUCCUCACUGCCACUUGCCAGAAUGCCCGGCCACGGUACUGUGCUCUUGGAAAGGGACAGUGGCUUCUGGUUACAGUGUCCAGUGUUUUUUUCUGAAGAGACGGAUUCUGAGACUGUGCUGGAGACCUUCCCUAUGGAAGAAAAUGGCAGCCUGCCAGGCUCAGAUGAAGAAAGAGAACCAACAGAGGACACCAGCACACUUGCUGAGCCUGGGGAAUAUUCAUGGUCAGCUGCUGGGCAAAAAGCCAAGACUGCUGGACAGUGGGAAUUUAGCAAGAACUACAUUCUAGCAUCUGUAGCAGUCUCGGCUCUGCUGCUGCUUGCAGCAGUGGUUGGGUACAUAAUCAUGUACCAGGCUGCUGAAGCGAGACAUGUGAGUUAUUCAUUGCUGCCAUUGGCAAUGAAGGGUUUGCACCAGGCUGGAGUGCCCAGGCAGCUCCUAGCAAGGCUCUGUGGAAACCGCUGCAGUGCAAUGCUUUAACUGUGCUCCAAAUUCAUAUCUAUGAGGAGUCUUGGAAAUCUGUUUCUACAGCAGGACUCAGGAAGACAAGGAGGCAACAAGACAGGACUGGGACUCUUCCAGGGAAAGCUGUGGUCUGCCUAGACGUGAAGCAGAAUCAAGCUGCCGCCUGUUUCCUGAGGUCUUUGCAGCAGAGCUUGCCCAGGUGUACAAGAACAUGGGCACAGACCGCUCACCUCUGCCCAUGUGUUCCUUCUGUGCUCUGGCUGACGGUGCUUCUUCACGGGACCACUGGAUUUCCCUGGACUCACCUCAGCCCACACCAUUCUGGUGCCCCUGCUACCAGUACCAGCAGGAACACUUUAUAUUAGGGGACCAUGAUUAGUGAUAGUGAGAGUUAUAAAUAGUGAUAGGGAUGGUGACACCUGCAGUGAUACUUUUAGUGGUAGUGACACUUUUAGUGAUAGUGAUACUUUAUAUUAGAGGAUAACGAUUAUUUUACUGAUAGUGGUAGCAUAUAAAUAAAUGUAUUUCCAAAAGCAGUAAGUCCUUGGCUGUUGCGGAUGUUUCUGUUGGGGUAGAAUGCACAGAGCUGGGAGCAGGUCUGGGGCUGGUAGAGGAGCUCUGAGCAACUUGCACUGCAGUGCAGGAGCUGUUUGUGCCAGCCUCAGCCUGCUUUCCCAGCAGUGGCCAGUAACAAGGCUUUCCUUCACCAGAAUAAGGACACGCUAGUGAGGAGUGACAUGCAGAAACUCCUCUACGAGCUCAUUUGGGAUGCUGCCCAGAAUCAGGAAGGUCUGGACAGAGAGGAUAGGAUGUUGUGGGAAGGAUGGCUGUCCAGUGCUAAUCACAUCAAGGAGACCUGAGAUCGUGACUUAGAUCAUGGGGGAUGUGGCAGUUCCCUCCCCAAAGAACUCAAAGAGGAUCAAGGAGCAGAAAGCUGGAGCUGGGCUGUGUGAGAUGCAGAGGGGAAGGAAUGCGAUACUAGUCACAGGAGCAUUACUAAAAAUUAUAUUGAUAACAGAGAGAGCAGUUAUAAUAAAAAACACAGUAUUUUCCCACUCACUAUGGGAAAAAAGCCGAAGGUGGAGCAAAGCUUGGGAAGUUUGCUCUGGGCUUUUGCUUGAGCAAGUGCGGCAGUUGCAGGCUGUGUGUGGCUCCUUAGUUGCUGUUUUGGGACUUGGCUUUUGUUUCAGGGAGAUUAAGACCAAAGCAAUACAGACCUGGGCAUUUCCUGCUCAAUUUCUAAAGUAACGGAAUGUAGGACUGUGAAGAAGGCCGUUGAGGUAGAAAGAAGUGACAGAGUGCCCGCCUCAGAUGAAGAAAGUGAGGCAGUGCAAGAAACCAGCAUGAUGGAAUAGCUGCCCUGGGAUGAUGAGUCAGAUUCACUGUGGUCCCGCAGGCCUUUCCUCAUGCCUGCUCCAGCUUGGCCACCUACAGCCAAAGCUGGAGGUGUGAGUGCAGCAAAGCUGUUGUCCAGAAUCACGGCACAGGCUCUGAGGCUGAUUGUUGCCUGCAGUGUGUGGGGAGGAUAUUGCCAGCAGCAAUUGCCAGAGAGAUGCUUGACGGCAUCUCUGGACACUGUGGGGUUUUGGAGGGGUUCUUACACUUUUAGCUCAGGCAGUAAAGACUGUCCCAAGACAAUGCUAUUCCCUUUGAAGUGCUGAAGAGGAACCACUGAGCUCCUCACCCUUGUCCCUCUCCUCUCCACAGCAGCUCCAGCUCCACCUCUGGGCUGUCUCUCAUGGGGCUCUUAGCAGCCUCUGAGAUACCCCACCUCCUGAGAGGGCAGCCCAAGCUCUUUUCAGAAGAGAGCUGUGCCUCAACACUUGAACCAAGCCUUGCAAACUCUUGUGAUAUAGACAUCCACACUUGCAGCCCUGCAGAUGCACAUGUGAACUGAGAUGCACAUGUGGGACACAUGCAUGCCCAUGCCCUGCAGUGCUAUUUCUGAAAUGCCCGGGCUGCUUCUGAGGGAGCUGACGUGCCACUGCAGCAGGAAAACACCUCUGCAUACAAGGGGCUGCAGCAACAACCACCCCUGGGUUUCUCCUUGUGUGUUGUUCUGUUCAGUCGCCAGUCCCUUGGUUUCUCGCUAUAUUCCUGUUCUCUCCCACUCCCUCUCUGUCUUGCUGUCUAUCCAAAGCUUCUUCAACAAUCUCCAUCCCGCCCCAACCCAGACUUCGUUCUCUCCUACUCAUUCUGCUCCUUUCUGCUCAUUCUGCGUCUCUUCCUCUUUCCCUGCUGCGUCUUCCUGCAGCUCUGCUCCCAUUCCCUGCCCCUCUUUUGCUCUCGUUGCCUCUCCGUUCUGCUUCCUGUCCCUGUCUCUUCUGUCUUUAUUUCUCGGCUCUGCUCCCUGUGCCACGCUCAGCUCAGACUCCCAGGCGAGCUGCCCCGGCAGCCGGGACACGGCGGAGAGCUCUCCUGCAGCAGCGGCGAAUCGGGCCCGGGAGAGGCGCCUCGGCCCUCGGGCCGGAGCGGGGGCGCUCCGCGCCAGCGGGAGCAGCUGGAGCUGCGGCCCGGGAGGCGGGGCGGGCACAGCCCCACAGCCCCGUUCCCGCCCCUCAUGGCCACAAUGGGAAAGAACAGGGGUUCUCUUGGGAAACCAAGAGACUGGCAACUGGACAGAGCAACACACAAGGGGAAACCCAGGGGCGGUUUUUGCUGCAGCCCAAUAAAUCCAGAGGUGUUUUCCUGCUGCAGUGGUUGCUCCGAGCCAGCGGGAGCAGCUGGAGCUGCGGGGCGGGCACAGCCCCACAACCGCGUGCCCGCCCCUCACGGCCCCGUGCGAAAUGGCGGCAGCAGGGGGCAAGGAGGCCGCGGGCCCCGGGCAGCGCUGCCUCCGUGCCGUGCCACACACGCGGCAGGCGGCUUCAGCAGCAGCACAGGUCUCGGGGCACUGGUCCCACAGCUGGUGACGAGCCGCCGAGCAGCGCAAUGCCUCGAGUGCGUUAAAGGAGAGACUGGGUGUAUAACCCGUUAAAGGAACAAAGAAGGGCAGUGUUCAUCGGUGCCACCCCUCGGGCAGGAAUAGAGGGCCCGAGAUAGCACUCAGACUCAAUGCCGAGGCAGCUGGGCAGCCUGCCUGGCUUCUGGGCAGGAGAUGUCACCAAGACAUCCUCCAGCCUGGUACGGCCCUCUGCUUAUCAUUAUGUGCCACAGCCUUCAAGGUGGGCUGUGAUCUGUGCUCAAUUCCAGAGGAUGGCAUUGGCCAAGCUGAUGCGGCUUGUCGGUUGGAGUCUGCUUAUGAGCCUUGGAGAGACACCCUAAAGGGGGAAAUCUGUCCGUGCCUCUGUGCUUGCAGCUCUAAACACCUGGGGGUUAACUGGUGCUUCAGGGGCAAUUAUACCAAAGGUGCUCUAGAAGGCUUUCCAAGAGAUUCUAGCGUAGCGUGCCUGGCGCACGUAAAUCCUGAAUAUUUCCUUCCCAGAAGAGCUGCUAAGCUAAAAGGCUACCCGUGUUAACUGUUACCUGCAGGAACUGACACAUUUGUGUGUCUCCCAUGGCAUUACCACCUGGGGUCUGAGGACAAGCAAGAGGGAGCUCAGGGCCUCUGGAUGACUGCUUGAGGGAUCUGGGCCGCAUGUGGUAUUUACUUCUGCCACUUGCAGUGACCCAGACACAGAAAGGUUCUAGAGGUGAAUACCUGGCACCCUGGUGUGCCCAACAGAAGUGUAGGGCUUUGACUGUGGGUUACUCCACAGGACACCAGGCCUGAUGGUGGCACAUGGGCUACACCUGCCUCCAAGGGAAAAAGGAUCUUGGCUCAGGAGUUAGUGGGGCUCCUUAAGAGGGCUUUACGUAGGUUUGGAAGUGGAAAGGGAAUAUACUAGGCUCACCUGGGAGAAGCAUGAGCACUGCAAACACAUGUUUGCAUGACAGUGGAGGAUGGAAGCAGUGCUGCCAUCAAAGAUCAUGAAACUGUAGCACAAGUAAUGGGGAAAACAGGUUUCUUGCCAGAAUGCUGUCAGACAAAAAUACUACCAAAGAAAGACACAAUUGAGUUUUUUACAGCAGCCUUCAUACAGGGCUGCUGAUGGGGAUUUAUGAAGAAUAGGACCUGAGUGCCUCUGCAUUCCCAUGCACAGUGCUGCCUCCCAGAAUACAUCAACCCUUCUCCAUUUUGCUCCUUCCAUUCCUAUGCAGAAUAAGGAAAUCAAUAGAGGGCGGGUCCAGGAAUUCACAUGCAAUGUGGGUGUACAUUGGGGAGUUCACAGACACCACUAUGUUAUGAGGUCACAGAGCCCUGUUUGAUGUGAGGUUCCAGAGCCCCACUGCUGCUCUUCAGUGCUCGCUCUGGGCAACACUGCAGCAGCAGCAGCAGCAGUGGCAGGAGCAGCAGAAUCAUGGUCCUGGGCCACUACCUCCUGCUCCUCUUUCUCCUGGCCCUGCAAGCCCAGAAUGCCCAGAGUGCUCCAACACCUGGGCAGGGAGCAGUUGUGGACACAGAGAGAACUCUUUCAGCCCCUGAGCUGGAGCCAAAUACCAUGCUGAUUCCGAGCUGGUACCUCAAGCGGAAUAAUUAUGACAAGGUUCCUGAAGAAUUCCCUGAAGGAUUCCCAGAUGUUUCAGAGGAGCUCCUGAACACCUUGCAUGAAGCCCCAUCUGGUUAGUAUAUCCCACUCUGUUAACCCUGGGACCUGGGAAGCUGAGCUUUUGGUUCCUGGAGGGAUGUGCUGUAUCCUGGACAGCCAGAAGUGCUGCAGGGAUUUCACACCAUUUCACACCUCCUGGAGUGAGCCAUAGAGAUGGUCCAGCACAGCGUCUGCUCACAGCUCUGCUUCCAGACGAUUGCCAGGGGCAUCUCCAGAUGCUGCUGCAAUUGUACCAUUACUGGCCAGAGCUGCUGUGUGCAGACACUGGCAUCCAGAUGUGGGGAAAAGGCCUGUGCUGAAUUUGUGUUCGCCUCACACUCAGCACAGCAUGGAGGCAGAAAUGCUAUCCCACAAAAUCUUGGCUGCCCCUGCCAAACCUCAGGCUCAGGGAUGGGCUGAAGCUGGACCCCAAGUGUGAGGGUGAACCUGGAGGUAUUCCUUCUGUGGGUCAUUUGGUUGAUUAAGUCUUGGCUGGUUUGGGUCUGCAUUUCUUGUUGCACUGCAGAAAAUCUGGCUAUGGAUUCCUCUUGUCUUGGGGGACAGCAGGCUCCUCACUGCCACUUGCCAGAAUGCCCGGCCACGGUACUGUGCUCUUGGAAAGGGACAGUGGCUUCUGGUUACAGUGUCCAGUGUUUUUUUCUGAAGAGACGGAUUCUGAGACUGUGCUGGAGACCUUCCCUAUGGAAGAAAAUGGCAGCCUGCCAGGCUCAGAUGAAGAAAGAGAACCAACAGAGGACACCAGCACACUUGCUGAGCCUGGGGAAUAUUCAUGGUCAGCUGCUGGGCAAAAAGCCAAGACUGCUGGACAGUGGGAAUUUAGCAAGAACUACAUUCUAGCAUCUGUAGCAGUCUCGGCUCUGCUGCUGCUUGCAGCAGUGGUUGGGUACAUAAUCAUGUACCAGGCUGCUGAAGCGAGACAUGUGAGUUAUUCAUUGCUGCCAUUGGCAAUGAAGGGUUUGCACCAGGCUGGAGUGCCCAGGCAGCUCCUAGCAAGGCUCUGUGGAAACCGCUGCAGUGCAAUGCUUUAACUGUGCUCCAAAUUCAUAUCUAUGAGGAGUCUUGGAAAUCUGUUUCUACAGCAGGACUCAGGAAGACAAGGAGGCAACAAGACAGGACUGGGACUCUUCCAGGGAAAGCUGUGGUCUGCCUAGACGUGAAGCAGAAUCAAGCUGCCGCCUGUUUCCUGAGGUCUUUGCAGCAGAGCUUGCCCAGGUGUACAAGAACAUGGGCACAGACCGCUCACCUCUGCCCAUGUGUUCCUUCUGUGCUCUGGCUGACGGUGCUUCUUCACGGGACCACUGGAUUUCCCUGGACUCACCUCAGCCCACACCAUUCUGGUGCCCCUGCUACCAGUACCAGCAGGAACACUUUAUAUUAGGGGACCAUGAUUAGUGAUAGUGAGAGUUAUAAAUAGUGAUAGGGAUGGUGACACCUGCAGUGAUACUUUUAGUGGUAGUGACACUUUUAGUGAUAGUGAUACUUUAUAUUAGAGGAUAACGAUUAUUUUACUGAUAGUGGUAGCAUAUAAAUAAAUGUAUUUCCAAAAGCAGUAA
RNA transcript from Vidua chalybeata, 18724 nucleotides. RefSeq lists it as uncharacterized. The record is from RefSeq and is a predicted model, not a curated record. The transcript is spliced from 12 exons. Lineage: Eukaryota; Metazoa; Chordata; Aves; Passeriformes; Viduidae.